UGAGUAACGCGUGAGUAACCUGCCUUUCAGAGGGGAAUAACAUUCUGAAAAGGAUGCUAAUACCGCAUGACAUCGUAGUAUCGCAUGGUACAGCGAUCAAAGGAGCAAUCCGCUGAAAGAUGGACUCGCGUCCGAUUAGAUAGUAGGCGGGGUAACGGCCCACCUAGUCGACGAUCGGUAGCCGGACUGAGAGGUUGAACGGCCACAUUGGGACUGAGACACGGCCCAGACUCCUACGGGAGGCAGCAUG
RNAcentral lists this ribosomal RNA (250 nucleotides) under uncultured bacterium. Its description in RNAcentral is "partial 16S ribosomal RNA". It matches the Rfam family "Bacterial small subunit ribosomal RNA", at positions 107 to 353 of the family's 1533-position model. The record is from RNAcentral.